This is a long non-coding RNA of Homalodisca vitripennis (glassy-winged sharpshooter), 765 nucleotides long. RefSeq lists it as uncharacterized. The record is from RefSeq and is a predicted model, not a curated record. The transcript has 3 exons. Lineage: Eukaryota; Metazoa; Arthropoda; Insecta; Hemiptera; Cicadellidae.
AAUCAGGCUAGAACAAUGAAAAUUCUUUGUUCAUGAUAUCAAAACUGUCACAAGAUAUUUAUGUUAUAUCAUAUCAUUUAUAAAGAGGACGAUAUACAUCUGACUAAAUUCAGUCUUGAUUCACUCGUUCAAGAAUACACCACGUGAGGAAAUGAUGUUUAAGAAACUUAUCUGUUUUCUGCCUGGUGGUAGCGAUUGUCCACAGCGAUAUAAAGGAAGAGGACUCUAACUCCAUAGAACCACCUCCCGUAAUAUCCAGCAGCGUGAACCCAACUUUAGAAGAACUAAAGAAACACGGAGCAAACCCCAAGAAUAAAGGAAUUUCUCCUCGUUCCUCGGGCUCGCUUUUCGGACUCGGGAUCGGUGCAAAUCUGCUAGGAGUGCAUGCAGGCGCUGGUAUAGGCCAUGGCCGUGGAGGCUAUGGUGAUAUGGGCCAAGGGUUUGUUGGCAAACCUGCGGGAGGCCAAUAUCCACAAUAUCCACAGUAUCCAAAAUAUUCAUAUCCUUUAUAUAUGCAACCACAACCAUACUACGUCCCACCAGCUCAUGCACCCUAUUGAAAGCCUCAAGGAAUCCCACUAGCGAAACCUCCUAUGUGUUACCUUCCCCCUUGCACAUAAAUGGAUUUUAGUUGAAUAUUUCCUUAAAUAGGGAUCUCCCUAUCUAAUUCUUUAUUUAGCAUUACUCAAAGAUAUUUUCUUGAAUGAACAUUAAAAAAAUAAUAUUACUACAAAGACUUUCUUUUUAUUGGGCCUACUUAAGACC